Molecule: long non-coding RNA, 623 nt
Filed under: Rattus norvegicus (Norway rat)
Lineage: Eukaryota; Metazoa; Chordata; Mammalia; Rodentia; Muridae
Description: long non-coding RNA NONRATT002346
Source: RNAcentral
AUGCAUCUUACAGCCGAGCUCAGCUCCCUUCAUAUGUCAUUCCAGGAUGGCCUCAGCACCAGCCCAGAGCAGGCUCUGCCACUUCAUAAAGCCAGAGCUUUUGCCUAAGAUGUGCUAUGAUACCUCACAUGGUAGCACAUGUCUGCCAACCCAGAACUGGGGUAGAAGGGGCAGGAGGAUCAUAGGGAGUUCCAGACCAGACUGGGCUCCAUGAGUCCCUCCCUGUCUCAAGAAAACACAGCCCAGCAGUGGUGGCACACACUCGGGAGGCAGAGGCCCAUGGAUCUCUGUGAGUCGGAGGCCAGCCUGGUCUACAGAGAGAGUUCCAGGGCAGUCAGAGCCACACAGAGAAACCCUGACUUGGGAAACAAAGCAAAACAAAGCAAAACAGACCAAACAAAAAAAGUCGUGGUUCCAUUCAUGCAAAUGAGCAGAGAGAGGUUCCAGAGAGCCCGAGGAGGAACAGGUUGGUCAAAGUUCUGUGGAUAGCUGAGGUCAGCUGGGAUCCAAACCCACAGUGAUCUGUCCCAGGUACAGGCAUUUUCCAGGUUCAUGAACCUUACACAUGGAAUGCAGUCAAGAGAGAUGAGCAAGGAGCUGCCUUAAUCCCAGUAGAGGCAGGA